This 626-nucleotide ribosomal RNA is filed under the name uncultured Lachnospiraceae bacterium. RNAcentral's name for it is "bacterial SSU rRNA". It matches the Rfam family "Bacterial small subunit ribosomal RNA", at positions 92 to 737 of the family's 1533-position model. The record is from RNAcentral. Lineage: Bacteria; Bacillati; Bacillota; Clostridia; Lachnospirales; Lachnospiraceae.
CUAGUGGCGGACGGGUGAGUAACGCGUGGGUAACCUGCCUUAUACUGGGGGAUAACAGCCAGAAAUGGCUGCUAAUACCGCAUAAGCGCACAGGACCGCAUGGUCCAGUGUGAAAAACUCCGGUGGUAUAAGAUGGACCCGCGUUGGAUUAGCUAGUUGGCAGGGCAGCGGCCUACCAAGGCGACGAUCCAUAGCCGGCCUGAGAGGGUGAACGGCCACAUUGGGACUGAGACACGGCCCAGACUCCUACGGGAGGCAGCAGUGGGGAAUAUUGCACAAUGGGGGAAACCCUGAUGCAGCGACGCCGCGUGAAGGAAGAAGUAUCUCGGUAUGUAAACUUCUAUCAGCAGGGAAGAUAAUGACGGUACCUGACUAAGAAGCCCCGGCUAACUACGUGCCAGCAGCCGCGGUAAUACGUAGGGGGCAAGCGUUAUCCGGAUUUACUGGGUGUAAAGGGAGCGUAGACGGCGCAGCAAGUCUGAUGUGAAAGGCAGGGGCUUAACCCCUGGACUGCAUUGGAAACUGUUGAGCUUGAGUGCCGGAGGGGUAAGCGGAAUUCCUAGUGUAGCGGUGAAAUGCGUAGAUAUUAGGAGGACACCAGUGGCGAAGGCGGCUUACUGGACGGU